UCCAUUUUCGAAAUGGUCUUGAAUGAAAGAAAAAGCUAGAUAAAAUGAUGAAAUCAAAUCCUAGUUCAGUUACUGAGGAGCGGUGAUAUGGAGGUGCUGCAUAUACUGAGUCCUCGAAGGUAUCGUCACCAAAACUCGUAAACCAACCAUGAUAUGAUAUCUCUACUACUAUAACUAUACCAUAAUCAAUGUUGCUUCUUCUACUCCAUACACAUUAACGAAAUUUGCAACUUUCAACAAACCAUGCUACUCACGUGUCACCACCACCCUUUCUUACUCAGCGCAACCACCACUAACAGAAACCACAACCUCUCACUCGCCCUCUCCAUCAUAACCUCGCGCCCCCUCUACCUCACCACCCCAAACCUUAAACUUACCGCUCAUCGCUUCAAUUCUCUCACAGUCAGCGCCGACUCCUUUCCCCUCCGAUUCCAACAUGUCACUGCCGAUUCCAAUUUUGACUCUCUCCUUUCUUUCCUCGAGUUCUCUUGCCUCCUCUCUUCCGCCGUCGCUUCCUCCGCUGCCACCGUAGUUGCGGCUUCCAAAAACGACCUACUGGCCGGGAUCGGCACCAGAGCCGCUCCGUUUGGCGUCACGAUGCUUGUGAUCGGGGUUUUGAUCGGCGUUUGGAUUCGGAGGCGCCAGUGGAGGCGCGUUUGUGUGGAGAACGGGAAGGGUGGGUUGGAGGUUAACUUUCUCCAGAGGAUUGAGAAAUUGGAGGAGGAUUUGAAAAGUUCCCUGACGGUUGUGAGGGUUUUGUCAAGACAGCUCGAGAAAUUAGGGAUUAGGUUUAGGGUUACGAGAAAGGCCUUGAAGGAUCCCAUAGCUGAGCUGCCCUUGCAGUUGCUGUCAACCGUGUCAGUUCUUCAUUGUCAUCCCCCAAGGAGAUCUCAUCUUCAACACAUUCAUCAAUAUCCGUUGAUGACUGCAGCUUUGGCCCAGAAGAAUUCUGAGGCUGCUAGAGCAUUAGCAGUGCAAUCAGACAUUUUAGAGCAGGAACUUGGUGAAAUUCAACACGUUUUAUUAGCAAUGCAGGAACAACAGCGAAAACAACUUGAUCUGAUUCUUGCAAUCGGGAAGGCUGGUAAGCUAUGGGAAAGCAAGCCCGAAAUCAGUGAUCGACAAGAUACAUUAGAAAUGUCAAACUCGGCUGAGGGUGUGGUAAAACAGGAGGUGCAUCAAAUAUGAUUGGGUUAAAAUAGGAGGAAGUUCCUGAAAUUUUGAAGUGGCAAAUCAUGGUGAAAUAUUAAUACCUCAAAUUUGCUGUGGAUACAGGUGAGAGGAGAUUACUCGAGAGGUAAGACAUACUAAGGUAGGAGCAUUUGUUGAACUCUGUCCAGUUCUGUUAGGAAAGAUCCGCUGGUUCUUCGUGUCUGUGCAUGUACUUUGAAAUCAAAUUUAUAAGCUGUUCAUCAAUUUUGUUUUUAAAUGCUUAUAUUGGUGGUAUAAGGGUUCGGUACAACAGUUUUUGUCCCUUGCAUGUUUCUGUGUCAUAUAUUGAAAUGAACCUUCAGUAUUCGUUCAUAA
Vigna angularis (adzuki bean) is the source of this 1527-nucleotide RNA transcript. It is a transcript of the gene named polyadenylate-binding protein 2, with no coding region annotated. The record is from RefSeq and is a predicted model, not a curated record. Lineage: Eukaryota; Viridiplantae; Streptophyta; Magnoliopsida; Fabales; Fabaceae. The transcript has 5 exons.